This 459-nucleotide ribosomal RNA is filed under the name uncultured bacterium. RNAcentral describes it as "partial 16S ribosomal RNA". It matches the Rfam family "Bacterial small subunit ribosomal RNA", at positions 338 to 795 of the family's 1533-position model. The record is from RNAcentral.
CCUACGGGAGGCAGCAGUGAGGAAUAUUGGUCAAUGGUCGGGAGACUGAACCAGCCAAGCCGCGUGAGGGAGGAAGGUACAGAGUAUCGUAAACCUCUUUUGUCAGGGAACAAAGACUGGGACGCGUCCCCGGAUGAGUUUACCUGAAGAAAAAGCAUCGGCUAACUACGUGCCAGCAGCCGCGGUAAUACGGAGGAUGCGAAGGUUAUACGGAUUUAUUGGUGUUAACGGGUGGGCCGGCGGUCCGUUAAGUCAGCGGUCAAAGCAAGGGGCGCAACCCCGGCCCGCCGUUGAAACGGGCAGUCUCGAGUUGGAGAGAAGUAUGCGGAAUGCGCGGUGUAGCGGUGAAAUGCAUAGAUAUCGCGCAGAACUCCGAUUGCGAAGGCAGCAUGCCGGCUCCACACGGACGCUGAGGCACGAAAGCGUGGGUAUCGAACAGGAGUAGAUACCCCUGUAGUC